This 251-nucleotide ribosomal RNA is filed under the name uncultured bacterium. RNAcentral's name for it is "partial 16S ribosomal RNA". It matches the Rfam family "Bacterial small subunit ribosomal RNA", at positions 103 to 354 of the family's 1533-position model. The record is from RNAcentral.
CGGGUGAGUAACGCGUGGAGAACCUGCCGUAUACUGGGGGAUAACACUUAGAAAUAGGUGCUAAUACCGCAUAAGCGCACAGCUUCGCAUGAAGCAGUGUGAAAAACUCCGGUGGUAUACGAUGGAUCCGCGUCUGAUUAGCUUGUUGGCGGGGUAAAGGCCCACCAAGGCGACGAUCAGUAGCCGGCCUGAGAGGGUGAACGGCCACAUUGGGACUGAGACACGGCCCAAACUCCUACGGGAGGCAGCAG